GGCCGCGGGAAUUCGAUUCAGGCCUAACACAUGCAAGUCGAACGCACAGCGAAAGGUGCUUGCACCUUUCAAGUGAGUGGCGAACGGGUGAGUAACACGUGGACAACCUGCCUCAAGGCUGGGGAUAACAUUUGGAAACAGAUGCUAAUACCGAAUAAAACUUAGUGUCGCAUGACACAAAGUUAAAAGGCGCUUCGGCGUCACCUAGAGAUGGAUCCGCGGUGCAUUAGUUAGUUGGUGGGGUAAAGGCCUACCAAGACAAUGAUGCAUAGCCGAGUUGAGAGACUGAUCGGCCACAUUGGGACUGAGACACGGCCCAAACUCCUACGGGAGGCUGCAGUAGGGAAUCUUCCACAAUGGGCGAAAGCCUGAUGGAGAAACGCCGCGUGUGUGAUGAAGGCUUUCGGGUCGUAAAGAAAGGGUGUAUGGGAAGAACAGCUAGAAUAGGAAAUGAUUUUAGUUGAC
This 465-nucleotide ribosomal RNA is filed under the name uncultured bacterium. Its description in RNAcentral is "bacterial SSU rRNA". It matches the Rfam family "Bacterial small subunit ribosomal RNA", at positions 39 to 473 of the family's 1533-position model. The record is from RNAcentral.